RNAcentral lists this ribosomal RNA (334 nucleotides) under uncultured bacterium. RNAcentral's name for it is "bacterial SSU rRNA". It matches the Rfam family "Bacterial small subunit ribosomal RNA", at positions 460 to 793 of the family's 1533-position model. The record is from RNAcentral.
UGAGGGUGCCUGACGGUACUGUAGGAAUAAGCACCGGCUAACUCCGUGCCAGCAGCCGCGGUAAUACGGAGGGUGCGAGCGUUAUCCGGAUUUAUUGGGUUUAAAGGGUCCGUAGGCGGAUUAAUAAGUCAGUGGUGAAAUCCCAUCGCUUAACGAUGGAACUGCCAUUGAUACUGUUAGUCUUGAAUGAGGGUGCAGUGGUUGGAAUGUGUAGUGUAGCGGUGAAAUGCAUAGAUAUUACACAGAACACCGAUUGCGAAGGCAGAUCACUAACCCUAAAUUGACGCUGAGGGACGAAAGCGUGGGGAGCGAACAGGAUUAGAUACCCUGGUAG